CCUACGGGAGGCAGCAGUGGGGAAUAUUGGGCAAUGGGCGCAAGCCUGACCCAGCAACGCCGCGUGAAGGAAGAAGGCUUUCGGGUUGUAAACUUCUUUUGACAGGGAAGAGCAGAAGACGGUACCUGUCGAAUAAGCCACGGCUAACUCCGUGCCAGCAGCCGCGGUAAUACGUAGGUGGCAAGCGUUGUCCGGAUUUACUGGGGGUAAAGGGCGUGUAGCCGGGCUGACAAGUCAGAUGUGAAAUCCGGGGGCUCAACCCCCGAACUGCAUUUGAAACUGUUGGUCUUGAGUAUCGGAGAGGCAGGCGGAAUUCCUAGUGUAGCGGUGAAAUGCGUAGAUAUUAGGAGGAACACCAGUGGCGAAGGCGGCCUGCUGGACGACAACUGACGGUGAGGCGCGAAAGCGUGGGGAGCAAACAGGAUUAGAUACCCUAGUAGUC
This 442-nucleotide ribosomal RNA is filed under the name uncultured bacterium. RNAcentral's name for it is "partial 16S ribosomal RNA". It matches the Rfam family "Bacterial small subunit ribosomal RNA", at positions 338 to 795 of the family's 1533-position model. The record is from RNAcentral.